Molecule: ribosomal RNA, 330 nt
Filed under: uncultured eukaryote
Lineage: Eukaryota
Description: partial 18S ribosomal RNA
Rfam family: Eukaryotic small subunit ribosomal RNA
Source: RNAcentral
CCCUUAGAUGUUCGGGGCCGCACGCGCGCUACACUGAAGGAAUCAGCACGUCUUUCUCCUUGUCCGAAAGGACUGGGUAACCCGCUGAACCUCCUUCGUGCUAGGGAUUGGGGCUUGUAAUUCUUCCCCAUGAACGAGGAAUUCCCCGUAAGCGCGAGUCAUAAGCUCGCGUUGAUUACGUCCCUGCCCUUUGUACACACCGCCCGUCGCUACUACCGAUUGGAUGGUUUAGUGAGAUCCUCGGAUUGGUCCCGGAGCGGCCUCUGGUCGUGCCGGAGUGCCGAAAAGAAUGUCGAACUUGAUCAUCUAGAGGAAGUAAAAGUCGUAACA